CUGUCAGGGUGGAUGUCGGGGGUCUCUCUAUGUAACCCAGGCUGGCCUGGAACUUGCAGCAAUCCUCCUGCCUCGGCUGCCCAAGUGCUAGGAUCACAGGUGUCUGCUGCCAUAUCUGGCUGUGAUGUUGAGUUUCAUCCUCACAAUAAUCCUAUAAGGUGGGCACUGCUCCUACCACCCCCCAUUUUCUGGAUGGAGAAACCGAGGACCAGAGAAAUUAACUCGCCCAAGUCACACUGCUGGCAAACCCUGGAGCAGGGCUAUGAAGCUGGACCCUUCUGACCGCUCUGGGGGUUCCAAAGGCUCCAGGGGGCCUUCAAACAUUGGGGCGGCAGCUGGGUGUGGUGGUAAUCACCUGUAGUCUUAGCCCUUGGGAGACUGAGGCAGGAGGAUCUCCUCAACUUCAAGGCCAGCCUGGGUUACACAGUGAGUCCAAGACCAGCUUGAAUUACAUAACAAAACCCUGUCUCAACAAAACAAAACAAAACAAAACAAAAGUAGAUAAGUAAUAAAUACCUAAACAAACACUAGCAGUGUUGCUGGGUGAUUCUGCAUGUGCGGUGGAGAUGCUGACCACCGAGGGUCCCUUCCUCCAGCUCCCCAGGUUCCU
This 610-nucleotide long non-coding RNA is filed under the name Heterocephalus glaber (naked mole-rat). RNAcentral's name for it is "lncRNA (ENSHGLG00000042475.1)". Lineage: Eukaryota; Metazoa; Chordata; Mammalia; Rodentia; Bathyergidae. The record is from RNAcentral.